CACGUAGGGGGCGAGCGUUGUCCGGAUUUAUUGGGCGUAAAGAGCUCGUAGGCGGUUUCGUAAGUCGGAUGUGAAAACUCCAGGCUCAACUUGGAGACGCCAUUCGAUACUGCGAUGACUUGAGUCCGGUAGGGGAGUGUGGAAUUCCUGGUGUAGCGGUGAAAUGCGCAGAUAUCAGGAGGAACACCGGCGGCGAAGGCGGCUCUCUGGGACGGUACUGACGCUGAGACGCGAAAGCGUGGGGAGCGAACAGG
RNAcentral lists this ribosomal RNA (254 nucleotides) under uncultured bacterium. RNAcentral's name for it is "partial 16S ribosomal RNA". It matches the Rfam family "Bacterial small subunit ribosomal RNA", at positions 524 to 776 of the family's 1533-position model. The record is from RNAcentral.